GGGGCUGUAUUGGUUUCGACAUUUUAAAUUACACUAAUUGCUAAGCAGACUUAAGUCUUAGAAUAUAAAGUAAUUGCAAAUAAUAUUAUUAAUUUUAAAAAAAACCAAGUGUUUGCAUAAAACUCUUGAAUUUUCACAUUAAUCAAUUUUUUAGUUGUUGAUUAAAGUAGGCAAAAGAUUUUUUUCCGCUAAAAUUUAAAAAAGUUUAGUUUUGGUCAUAUUAGUAGCUAUAUAAUAUAAAAUUUCUAUAGUGUCAAUAAUAAACGUAAACGGAUCUACCCUCUUGUUAUUAAUAAAUUUAUUAAUAACUAAAUCUGUGAGUUAAGUAGUUAGUUUAAUAAUUUUUUAAAUGGACGUGGGUUCAAAUCCCACCAGCUCCU
RNAcentral lists this non-coding RNA (380 nucleotides) under Scytosiphon promiscuus. The record is from RNAcentral. Lineage: Eukaryota; Phaeophyceae; Ectocarpales; Scytosiphonaceae.